UGGCUUUGUAAAUUGUAUCGGUCACCGUAAGUGACCCGUAGAGAAUUUCCCCAUAACAAUAAAUUACAUAACGUGGUUAAUUUUUUCUGUUCGGUCCAAUUUUUCGAGAGAGAAAAGAAAGGGAGAGAAUUCAAAAAAAUGGCGGGAACAGUAGCUGUGAGAACAACAAACUCUUCAACACUGAACGCCGAGUGGGAGAUUUUCUUCGCACGCUUCAUCCCUUUCCCUCAUUUCACCACUCCUUCAUCUUCCUCCUCCGAUCUUCACCCUCUCCCUCACCGCCUCCGUAACCGUCCUCCUCGCGGCACCUGGAUCGCCUCCUCCACUUCCGCUUUCCUCAGAUUCUCCCCCGAUCUGUCUUUAUCCGAUGUCAUCCUCACCGUCUCCUUCAACGGCAAACUCUUCGAAGAGCACUACGUUUCGAAGCUGAAUUUUUCAUGGCCUCAAGUAUCGUGUGAUCCUGGAUUUCCUGCAAGGGGAAUUAAAACCGUGCUGGUUAAUUACAGAGAUUCCCGAGGCGAGAUUCAAAAGUUUGCUAUACGGUUUCCAUCAAUCUAUGAAGUACAAUCAUUCAUCACUGCUUUGAAGGUGAUCCUAAAAGAUGACAAGGGCCCUCAACCUUUAAAUAUUGACUUUGGUUCGGAAAUUUCGUCUCAGUCAGAAUUUAUGUCAACAAACAAACACUCUUACAGAGCUUCUGAGGAACUGAGUUUUGUGACUCCGGCUGACACUUUCAUUCCACAACUGCCAAUAUGUAUGAAUAAUGAAAGAGAGCAACCUUCAGUAAUCCAAACAAAGGAAACAGCUUCCGGUCACAACUUUGAAAGCAUCCUUCCAGCCUUGCCACCCAGUUUUGCCACAUUCUUGAUGGAUUGCUCUGGGGUCAACCAUACUCAAUCAACUACUACCAAGGAGAAUGAUCUCAAGUCCCAAAUUGCGGUACAUAUUUUGGAUUUCUCAUUUUGGUUAGAUGUUACUACCUGAUGCUUAAAUCACUUUAAUCACAUUGAUCUGGUGCUCAUUAUGAGAUAUAUGGAAGAUUCUUCCUUCCAAGAUAUGUUGAUAAAGGUGGAGAAAGUCAUCGGCGAAAUUGGGGGUGAUAUGUCACUCUAGGAGUCCAGGGCAUUGAAAAUGACACACCAAUCAGCUAGGCAUCUCUUCGUGCUUACUGAACCAUGGUGACCAUAAAUUUUGAGUGGCUUUAUAUUGAUUCUUCCAUUCUCUCUUAAUAACACACUGUUCAAUCCAUGGCAAAACUUCGUUUUUGCUUCUUUUAUUGUUCCAGCACAUUACAAUGCCAAGUGAAAAAAGGGUUACCUGAAUAUGGUAUAUCAGUGUCUAGCUAAUAAUGACAGAUCAAAUGUUUCUGCUUACAAAAUCUUUUUGUUAAUACAAAGAUAUCAGAAUUUUUUCAAUUCAAUCCGGUAGAAAUUUUCUAGCAUUUAUUCCUCACCCAAUUACUAACAAAAAAAUCAAGAAGCCACUAUAAUGAUCUAGAUCGAAGAUGUAGUCAAAGAAUCAAUGCAAGAGAAGAAGAAAGAGAAGUCAUCUAACAUUGACAUUGUUGAAUUCACCCCACUUCGACGAAUUCAACCAUGCAACAAGAGGAUGAAGAUGGAGUCCUAUGAAUAUAUUUCAAGGUCCAUUUCAAAUGGGAAGAAGACCCAAGAAAGAAUCUGAGUCUCGCCUAAAAGAAAUUAGUAGUGUACCUUUUGAGAAAAGAUGAAUCUUUCUAAAUGGUCAAUUGUUGAUAUGCCAAACAUCAAUCUUGAUGUCACCCGCAAAUUAUCUAAUAAAAGGCAUAUAUCAUAAAAAAAAAAAAGUCUUCAUAACCUUGUUAAAUAAGGAUUUGUUUUCAAAGUAAACUACAAUUCUA
Molecule: RNA transcript, 1876 nt
Organism: Vicia villosa (hairy vetch)
Lineage: Eukaryota; Viridiplantae; Streptophyta; Magnoliopsida; Fabales; Fabaceae
Gene name: protein POOR HOMOLOGOUS SYNAPSIS 1-like
Exons: 8
Source: RefSeq, a predicted model, not a curated record